UACGUAGGGAGCAAGCGUUGUCCGGAAUCAUUGGGCGUAAAGCGCGCGUAGGCGGCCUCAUAAGUCCGUUGUGAAAGUCAAAGGCUCAACCUUUGAAAGCCGAUGGAUACUGUGAGGCUAGAGUCCGGAAGAGGCGAGUGGAAUUCCUGGUGUAGCGGUGGAAUGCGCAGAUAUCAGGAGGAACACCGGUGGCGAAGGCGGAUCUCUGGGCCUUACCUGACGCUCAGGCGCGAAAGCUAGGGGAGCGAACUGG
This 253-nucleotide ribosomal RNA is filed under the name uncultured bacterium. RNAcentral describes it as "partial 16S ribosomal RNA". It matches the Rfam family "Bacterial small subunit ribosomal RNA", at positions 524 to 776 of the family's 1533-position model. The record is from RNAcentral.